CCUACGGGGGGCAGCAGUGGGGAAUAUUGGACAAUGGGGGGAACCCUGAUCCAGCCAUGCCGCGUGUGUGAAGAAGGCCCUCGGGUUGUAAAGCACUUUCAGUGAGGAAGAACGCCUGGUGGUUAAUACCCAUCAGGAAAGACAUCACUCACAGAAGAAGCACCGGCUAACUCCGUGCCAGCAGCCGCGGUAAUACGGAGGGUGCGAGCGUUAAUCGGAAUUACUGGGCGUAAAGCGCGCGUAGGUGGCUUGAUAAGCCGGUUGUGAAAGCCCCGGGCUCAACCUGGGAACGGCAUCCGGAACUGUCAAGCUAGAGUGCGGGAGAGGAAGGUAGAAUUCCCGGUGUAGCGGUGAAAUGCGUAGAGAUCGGGAGGAAUACCAGUGGCGAAGGCGGCCUUCUGGACUGACACUGACACUGAGGUGCGAAAGCGUGGGUAGCAAACAGGAUUAGAUACCCCAGUAGUC
Molecule: ribosomal RNA, 465 nt
Filed under: Vreelandella stevensii
Lineage: Bacteria; Pseudomonadati; Pseudomonadota; Gammaproteobacteria; Oceanospirillales; Halomonadaceae
Description: partial 16S ribosomal RNA
Rfam family: Bacterial small subunit ribosomal RNA
Source: RNAcentral